Molecule: microRNA, 22 nt
Filed under: Magallana gigas (Pacific oyster)
Lineage: Eukaryota; Metazoa; Mollusca; Bivalvia; Ostreida; Ostreidae
Description: Mgi-Mir-92-o33_5p* (star (passenger))
Source: RNAcentral
GGGCUGGAGCGGCUGCAAAGCA